AGAGUUUGAUCAUGGCUCAGAUUGAACGCUGGCGGCAUGCCUUACACAUGCAAGUCGAACGGCAGCAUGAUCUAGCUUGCUAGAUUGAUGGCGAGUGGCGAACGGGUGAGUAAUACAUCGGAACGUGCCCUGUAGUGGGGGAUAACUAGUCGAAAGAUUAGCUAAUACCGCAUACGACCUGAGGGUGAAAGUGGGGGACCGCAAGGCCUCAUGCUAUAGGAGCGGCCGAUGUCUGAUUAGCUAGUUGGUGAGGUAAAGGCUCACCAAGGCGACGAUCAGUAGCUGGUCUGAGAGGACGAUCAGCCACACUGGGACUGAGACACGGCCCAGACUCCUACGGGAGGCAGCAGUGGGGAAUUUUGGACAAUGGGCGAAAGCCUGAUCCAGCAAUGGCCGCGUGUGUGAAGAAGGCCUUCGGGUUGUAAAGCACUUUUGUCCGGAAAGAAAUGGCUCUGGUUAAUACCUGGGGUCGAUGACGGUACCGGAAGAAUAAGGACCGGCUAACUACGUGCCAGCAGCCGCGGUAAUACGUAGGGUCCAAGCGUUAAUCGGAAUUACUGGGCGUAAAGCGUGCGCAGGCGGUUGUGCAAGACCGAUGUGAAAUCCCCGAGCUUAACUUGGGAAUUGCAUUGGUGACUGCACGGCUAGAGUGUGUCAGAGGGGGGUAGAAUUCCACGUGUAGCAGUGAAAUGCGUAGAGAUGUGGAGGAAUACCGAUGGCGAAGGCAGCCCCCUGGGAUAACACUGACGCUCAUGCACGAAAGCGUGGGGAGCAAACAGGAUUAGAUACCCU
RNAcentral lists this ribosomal RNA (792 nucleotides) under uncultured bacterium. Its description in RNAcentral is "bacterial SSU rRNA". It matches the Rfam family "Bacterial small subunit ribosomal RNA", at positions 8 to 788 of the family's 1533-position model. The record is from RNAcentral.